This 736-nucleotide unclassified non-coding RNA is filed under the name Hevea brasiliensis (rubber tree). The record is from RNAcentral. Lineage: Eukaryota; Viridiplantae; Streptophyta; Magnoliopsida; Malpighiales; Euphorbiaceae.
AAAAAAUACAAAAACAGAAAGGGCUUUUGUGAGUUGGUGGCCAAAAAAAUUCAGAAAUUUAUUCAAGAUUACAUAUUGGGGAAAAGGAAAAUUGAUUCUUGAAGUUGAAAUUUUUUAGUUUGAAGAUUAGUUGUACGAAAUGAGCUCAGAUCUGAUAGCUAACACACAUGGUAACCUGGAUGAGCAGAUUUCUCAGCUUAUGCAGUGCAAGCCUCUAUCUGAGCCUGAGGUUAGAGCAUUAUGUGAGAAGGCUAAGGAGAUCCUAAUGGAAGAAAGUAAUGUUCAGCCAGUAAAAAGCCCUGUAACUAUAUGUGGUGAUAUUCAUGGGCAGUUCCAUGAUCUUGCUGAACUUUUUAGGAUUGGUGGACAGUGUCCAGAUACAAAUUAUCUGUUUAUGGGUGAUUACGUUGACCGUGGAUAUUAUUCGGUUGAAACAGUUACGCUAUUGGUAGCUCUGAAAGUGCGUUAUCCUCAACGACUAACAAUUCUUAGAGGAAAUCAUGAAAGCCGACAGAUCACACAAGUCUAUGGGUUCUAUGAUGAAUGCUUGCGGAAGUAUGGCAAUGCUAAUGUUUGGAAAACAUUUACUGAUCUAUUUGAUUAUUUUCCUUUGACUGCAUUGGUUGAAUCCGAAAUUUUUUGUUUGCAUGGAGGACUGUCUCCGUCUAUUGAAACCCUUGAUAAUGUACGAAGUUUCGACCGUGUCCAAGAAGUUCCUCAUGAAGGGGCCAUGUGU